UACGUAGGGGCCUAGCGUUGUCCGGAUUUAUUGGGCGUAAAGAGCUCGUAGGCGGUUCGGUAAGUCAGGUGUGAAAUCUCCACGCUCAACGUGGAGGCGCCACCUGAAACUGCCGUGACUCGAGUCCGGUAGGGGAGUGUGGAAUUCCCGGUGUAGCGGUGAAAUUCGUAGAUAUUGGGAAGAACACCGGUGGCGAAGGCGGCUCACUGGCCCGUAACCGACGCUCAUGCACGACAGCGUGGGGAUCAAACAGG
This 254-nucleotide ribosomal RNA is filed under the name uncultured bacterium. Its description in RNAcentral is "partial 16S ribosomal RNA". It matches the Rfam family "Bacterial small subunit ribosomal RNA", at positions 524 to 776 of the family's 1533-position model. The record is from RNAcentral.